RNAcentral lists this transfer RNA (68 nucleotides) under Marmota monax (woodchuck). RNAcentral's name for it is "tRNA.Val". The stretch from base 5 to 65 matches the Rfam family "tRNA", at positions 6 to 65 of the family's 71-position model. From Rfam's summary of the family: Transfer RNA (tRNA) molecules are approximately 80 nucleotides in length. Their secondary structure includes four short double-helical elements and three loops (D, anti-codon, and T loops). The record is from RNAcentral. Lineage: Eukaryota; Metazoa; Chordata; Mammalia; Rodentia; Sciuridae.
GGAAUGUAGCUCAGUGGUAGAGCAUUUGCCUCACAUGCACAAGGCCCUGGGUGCAAUCCCCAGCACCG